Molecule: ribosomal RNA, 2901 nt
Filed under: Salmonella enterica subsp. enterica serovar Derby
Lineage: Bacteria; Pseudomonadati; Pseudomonadota; Gammaproteobacteria; Enterobacterales; Enterobacteriaceae
Description: 23S ribosomal RNA
Rfam family: Bacterial large subunit ribosomal RNA
Source: RNAcentral
GGGUUGUGAGGUUAAGCGACUAAGCGUACACGGUGGAUGCCCUGGCAGUCAGAGGCGAUGAAGGACGUGCUAAUCUGCGAUAAGCGCCGGUAAGGUGAUAUGAACCGUUAUAACCGGCGAUUUCCGAAUGGGGAAACCCAGUGUGAUUCGUCACACUAUCAUUAACUGAAUCCAUAGGUUAAUGAGGCGAACCGGGGGAACUGAAACAUCUAAGUACCCCGAGGAAAAGAAAUCAACCGAGAUUCCCCCAGUAGCGGCGAGCGAACGGGGAGGAGCCCAGAGCCUGAAUCAGCAUGUGUGUUAGUGGAAGCGUCUGGAAAGGCGCGCGAUACAGGGUGACAGCCCCGUACACAAAAGCGCAUGUGCUGUGAGCUCGAUGAGUAGGGCGGGACACGUGGUAUCCUGUCUGAAUAUGGGGGGACCAUCCUCCAAGGCUAAAUACUCCUGACUGACCGAUAGUGAACCAGUACCGUGAGGGAAAGGCGAAAAGAACCCCGGCGAGGGGAGUGAAAAAGAACCUGAAACCGUGUACGUACAAGCAGUGGGAGCACAGGUUUACCUGUGUGACUGCGUACCUUUUGUAUAAUGGGUCAGCGACUUAUAUUCUGUAGCAAGGUUAACCGUAUAGGGGAGCCGCAGGGAAACCGAGUCUUAACCGGGCGUUAAGUUGCAGGGAGAAACCCGGUGAUCAGCCAUGGGCAGGUUGAAGGUUGGUAACACUAACUGGAGGACCGAACCGACUAAUGUUGAAAAAUUAGCGGAUGACCUGUGGCUGGGGGUGAAAGGCCAAUCAAACCGGGAGAUAGCUGGUUCUCCCCGAAAGCUAUUUAGGUAGCGCCUCGUGAAUUCAUCUCCGGGGGUAGAGCACUGUUUCGGCUAGGGGGCCAUCCCGGCUUACCAACCCGAUGCAAACUGCGAAUACCGGAGAAUGUUAUCACGGGAGACACACGGCGGGUGCUAACGUCCGUCGUGAAGAGGGAAACAACCCAGACCGCCAGCUAAGGUCCCAAAGUCAUGGUUAAGUGGGAAACGAUGUGGGAAGGCCCAGACAGCCAGGAUGUUGGCUUAGAAGCAGCCAUCAUUUAAAGAAAGCGUAAUAGCUCACUGGUCGAGUCGGCCUGCGCGGAAGAUGUAACGGGGCUAAACCAUGCACCGAAGCUGCGGCAGCGACACUCAGGUGUUGUUGGGUAGGGGAGCGUUCUGUAAGCCUGUGAAGGUGGCCUGUGAGGGUUGCUGGAGGUAUCAGAAGUGCGAAUGCUGACAUAAGUAACGAUAAAGCGGGUGAAAAGCCCGCUCGCCGGAAGACCAAGGGUUCCUGUCCAACGUUAAUCGGGGCAGGGUGAGUCGACCCCUAAGGCGAGGCCGAAAGGCGUAGUCGAUGGGAAACGGGUUAAUAUUCCCGUACUUGGUGUUACUGCGAAGGGGGGACGGAGAAGGCUAUGUUGGCCGGGCGACGGUUGUCCCGGUUUAAGCGUGUAGGUGUGUGUUCCAGGUAAAUCCGGUUCACUUUAACACUGAGGCGUGAUGACGAGGCACUACGGUGCUGAAGCAACAAAUGCCCUGCUUCCAGGAAAAGCCUCUAAGCAUCAGGUAACAUCAAAUCGUACCCCAAACCGACACAGGUGGUCAGGUAGAGAAUACCAAGGCGCUUGAGAGAACUCGGUGAAGGAACUAGGCAAAAUGGUGCCGUAACUUCGGAGAAGGCACGCUGACAUGUAGGUGAAGUGAUUUACUCAUGGAGCUGAAGUCAGUCGAAGAUACCAGCUGGCUGCAACUGUUUAUUAAAACACAGCACUGUGCAAACACGAAAGUGGACGUAUACGGUGUGACGCCUGCCCGGUGCCGGAAGGUUAAUUGAUGGGUCAGCGCAAGCGAAGCUCCUGAUCGAAGCCCGGUAAACGGCGGCCGUAACUAUAACGGUCCUAAGGUAGCGAAAUUCCUUGUCGGGUAAGUUCCGACCUGCACGAAUGGCGUAAUGAUGGCGGCUGUCUCCACCGAGACUCAGUGAAAUUGAACUCGCUGUGAAGAUGCAGUGUACCCGCGGCAAGACGGAAAGACCCGUGAACCUUUACUAUAGCUUGACACUGAACAUUGAGCCUUGAUGUAGGAUAGGUGGAGGCUUUGAAGUGGACGCCAGUCUGCAUGGAGCCGGCCUGAAAUACCACCCUUUAAUGUUUGAUGUUCUAACGUGGACCCGUAAUCCGGGUUGCGGACAGUGUCUGGUGGGUAGUUUGACUGGGGCGGUCUCCUCCUAAAGAGUAACGGAGGAGCACGAAGGUUGGCUAAUCCUGGUCGGACAUCAGGAGGUUAGUGCAAUGGCAUAAGCCAGCUUGACUGCGAGCGUGACGGCGCGAGCAGGUGCGAAAGCAGGUCAUAGUGAUCCGGUGGUUCUGAAUGGAAGGGCCAUCGCUCAACGGAUAAAAGGUACCGGGAUAACAGGCUGAUACCGCCCAAGAGUUCAUAUCGACGGCGGUGUUUGGCACCUCGAUGUCGGCUCAUCACAUCCUGGGGCUGAAGUAGGUCCCAAGGGUAUGGCUGUUCGCCAUUUAAAGUGGUACGCGAGCUGGGUUUAGAACGUCGUGAGACAGUUCGGUCCCUAUCUGCCGUGGGCGCUGGAGAACUGAGGGGGGCUGCUCCUAGUACGAGAGGACCGGAGUGGACGCAUCACUGGUGUUCGGGUUGUCAUGCCAAUGGCACUGCCCGGUAGCUAAAUGCGGAAGAGAUAAGUGCUGAAAGCAUCUAAGCACGAAACUUGCCCCGAGAUGAGUUCUCCCUGAGACUUAGAGUCUCCUGAAGGAACGUUGAAGACGACGACGUUGAUAGGCCGGGUGUGUAAGCGCAGCGAUGCGUUGAGCUAACCGGUACUAAUGAACCGUGAGGCUUAACCUUACAACGCCGAAG